ACUCCUACGGGAGGCAGCAGUGGGGAAUAUUGCACAAUGGGCGCAAGCCUGAUGCAGCCAUGCCGCGUGUGUGAAGAAGGCCUUCGGGUUGUAAAGCACUUUCAGUUGUGAGGAAGGUGGUGUCGUUAAUAGCGGCAUCAUUUGACGUUAGCAACAGAAGAAGCACCGGCUAACUCCGUGCCAGCAGCCGCGGUAAUACGGAGGGUGCGAGCGUUAAUCGGAAUUACUGGGCGUAAAGCGCAUGCAGGUGGUUUGUUAAGUCAGAUGUGAAAGCCCGGGGCUCAACCUCGGAACUGCAUUUGAAACUGGCAGACUAGAGUACUGUAGAGGGGGGUAGAAUUUCAGGUGUAGCGGUGAAAUGCGUAGAGAUCUGAAGGAAUACCGGUGGCGAAGGCGGCCCCCUGGACAGAUACUGACACUCAGAUGCGAAAGCGUGGGGAGCAAACAGGAUUAGAUACCCUGGUAGCACAG
RNAcentral lists this ribosomal RNA (471 nucleotides) under uncultured bacterium. Its description in RNAcentral is "bacterial SSU rRNA". It matches the Rfam family "Bacterial small subunit ribosomal RNA", at positions 335 to 798 of the family's 1533-position model. The record is from RNAcentral.